RNAcentral lists this transfer RNA (72 nucleotides) under Iotrochota birotulata (green finger sponge). Its description in RNAcentral is "tRNA-Arg". It matches the Rfam family "tRNA". Rfam says of the family: Transfer RNA (tRNA) molecules are approximately 80 nucleotides in length. The record is from RNAcentral. Lineage: Eukaryota; Metazoa; Porifera; Demospongiae; Poecilosclerida; Iotrochotidae.
AUGUUCAUAGCUUAAUGGUAGAGCAUUUACCUUCUAAGUAAAAGGUUAUGGGUUCGAGUCCUAUUGGGCGUA